This 1055-nucleotide long non-coding RNA is filed under the name Populus tremula. RNAcentral describes it as "long non-coding RNA (PTRE_LNC003467)". The record is from RNAcentral. Lineage: Eukaryota; Viridiplantae; Streptophyta; Magnoliopsida; Malpighiales; Salicaceae.
UGCAUUUGAGUCAUCAAUUCUGGGUCGACCCAUAUUCAUUUCUGGCACCAAAACCUCUUCGUUCUUGCAUUACAAUCGGGUUUCGAAGAUACCCUUUAAGGUUUCCCAAAAGAGUUAUCAAUACCCACCUCGUGUUUCAUCAAAACUUACCGAUUUUAGAACUUACUGUAGUUUAAUAUUAAAAAAAAUAUCUUCAUGAAAUUUUAUUAAAAUUAAACUAUGUUUUUUAUUUGUUGUUUAAAUUUUAUUUAAACUUAUCAAGUUGGCUCAAUCCCGUCAAAAUAAUUUUAUAUAGUUUAAUUUUAAAUUUGUACUAAAUAAAAAGAUAGAUAGAUAGAUUUCGAAGGUUGUCCCUCGCCCUAAUCUAGUUUAAUAAGAAUACCAUGUAAUUUGUUAUGAAUUAAUAUUUUUUUUACGUACAAGCCGCAUGUAGCCAGACAAAUAGACUAGCUGUGCCACAACGUAAGUAAUUUAAGGGGCAAAACCGAUAUUAAACCAAAUAACAAGGGGCAAACACAGUCAUUUCAUCUUCCACGCCGCUCGCUCAAGCAAAAUCUCUUCGACGCCAACCAAAAAUUGACGCAACCCAAAAGCCAACGCCACCUCCACGGGUCCACCAACACCAAACAAUUUUUAAAUUUCUUUUCAUCUGAAUAUAUGAAAAUCUCCCUUCCAAUAAAAAUGAAACCACCAAAUUCUUAGUUUUGGUGCCAGCUGAACUUAACUUCGAAAUUUUGGGUUUUGAGUGAGGUUGUUUCUUACUUAUGGUAAUGGAGAUUGCAUUUGAGUCAUCAAUUCUGGGUCGACCCAUAUUCAUUUCUGGCACCAAAACCUCUUCGUUCUUGCAUUACAAUCGGGUUUCGAAGAUACCCUUUAAGGUUUCCCAAAAGAGUUAUCAAUACCCACCUCGUGUUUCAUCAAAACUUACCGAUUUUAGAACUUACUGUAGUUCAAUUUUGCCAAGAAUUCGUUCAAAAUCAUCUCGCAAUGUUAGGACUGAUCUGGGUACUGAUCAAAAUGUGAACUUGGAGUUAAUAAAAGUGUUGUUGAAAAGG